AUACUCUGGUUUCUCUUCAAAUCGUAUAAAUCUUUCGCCUUUUACUAAAGAUUUCCGUGGAGGGGAACAAGCACGAGUGUCAGGGAAUUUUUUGAGGCUCCAUUUCGGUGGAGCU
Small nuclear RNA from Falco tinnunculus (common kestrel), 115 nucleotides. Its record names the gene U5. It matches the Rfam family "U5 spliceosomal RNA". Rfam says of the family: U5 RNA is a component of both types of known spliceosome. The precise function of this molecule is unknown, though it is known that the 5' loop is required for splice site selection and p220 binding, and that both the 3' stem-loop and the Sm site are important for Sm protein binding and cap methylation. The record is from Ensembl. NCBI's taxonomy places the organism in Eukaryota, Metazoa, Chordata, Aves, Falconiformes, Falconidae.